AGUGACAAGAAAUAACAAUACAGGACUUUUUGGUUUUGUAAUUGAAAUGAGUUAAGUAUAAACCCCUUUACAAGUAUCAAUUGGAGGGCAAGUCUGGUGCCAGCAGCCGCGGUAAUUCCAGCUCCAAUAGCGUAUAUUAAAGUUGUUGCAGUUAAAAAGCUCGUAGUUGGAUUUCUGUUAAUAAUUUAUAUAAAAUAUUUUGAUGAAUAUUUAUAUAAUAUUAACAUAAUUCAUAUUACUAUAUAUUUUAGUAUAUGAAAUUUUACUUUGAGAAAAUUAGAGUGCUUAAAGCAGG
RNAcentral lists this ribosomal RNA (295 nucleotides) under Cryptosporidium parvum. RNAcentral's name for it is "partial 18S ribosomal RNA". It matches the Rfam family "Eukaryotic small subunit ribosomal RNA", at positions 466 to 784 of the family's 1831-position model. The record is from RNAcentral. Lineage: Eukaryota; Apicomplexa; Conoidasida; Eucoccidiorida; Cryptosporidiidae.